Molecule: ribosomal RNA, 497 nt
Filed under: uncultured bacterium
Lineage: Bacteria
Description: partial 16S ribosomal RNA
Rfam family: Bacterial small subunit ribosomal RNA
Source: RNAcentral
GAUGAACGCUGGCGGCGUGCCUAAUACAUGCAAGUCGAGCGGACAGACGUGGUGCUUGCUCCUCUGACGUUAGCGGCGGACGGGUGAGUACCCCGUGGAUAACCUACCUAUAAGACUAGGAUAACUUCUGGCAACCGGAGCUAGUACCGGAUAAUAUAUUCAACCGCAUGGUUCAAUAGUGACAGACUGGUUUGCUGUCACUUCUAGAUGGAUCCGCGCCGCAUUAGCUAGUGGGUAAGGUAACGGCUUACCAAGGCAACGAUGCGUAGCCGACCUGGGAGGGUGAUCGGCCACACUGGAACUGAGACACGGGCCAGACUCCGACGGGGAGAAGCAGUAGGGAAUCUUCCGAGAUGGGAGAAAGCUUGACGGAGCAACGCCGCGUGAGUGAUGAAGGUCUUCGGAUCGGAAGACUCUGUGAUUAGGGAAGAACAAAUGUGUAAGUAACUAUGCACGUCUUGACGGUACCUAAUCAGAAAGCCACGGCUAACUACGUG